AAUGAAACUAGGACCCCUGCUGGCUUGGAGGGCGAAGUGUGCAACGAUUAUUCUUUGUCUUCUAACCUUUUAUUUUACAAGAAUGAAUUCAAGGCUUAAAUGUGUAAGUUGAUCUCUGGUAUCGCUAUAACUUUGCGAUACAAUGAAACACUUGUUAAUAAAUUUGGUUUCCCGAGGAACCGAAAUGAAUUUUGUGGGCUUCCGUUCUGACGUCAGAACAUUGGACGAACCCACGUGGUUAACAAAAAACACCAUGGCGGCUGGAUUCAAAACUGCUGAGCCCUUGGAAUACCACCGGAGUUUUUUGAAAGAGAACUGCCGUCCUGAUGGAAGAGAGCUGGGUGAAUUCAGAACCACUACAUUGAAUAUAGGUUCUAUAUCCACAGCAGACGGCUCAGCCCUGGUAAAGAUUGGAAACACCACAGUCAUGUGUGGCAUCAAAGGGGAACUGGCAAACCCACCAGUGGAUGCACCCAAUAAAGGUUACAUUGUACCCAAUGUAGACCUGCCUCCUCUGUGUUCAUCACGGUUCCGUCCUGGACCACCUGGGGAACGGGCUCAGGCCGCCAGCCAGUUCAUCGCUGAUGUCAUAGAGAGCUCUGCCGUCAUCCAGAAAGAGGACUUAUGCAUUGUGAAAGGAAAGCUGUGCUGGGUCCUGUACUGUGACAUCAUGUGUCUGGACUUCGAUGGAAACUUGUUGGACGCCUGUCUCAUCGCCCUGCUGGCUGCUCUUAAGAACGCACGUCUCCCAGAGGUGACAGUCAACAAAGAGACAGAGGCUCCUGAGGUGAACCUGGAGAGCAGGAGAAGUCUGAACAUCCACAAACACCCCGUAGGAGCCUCUUUCAUCGUGUUUGACGACUCUAUAAUGAUUGUCGACCCCACCGCUGAGGAAGAGAGCCUGUCUACAGCCACAAUCACAGUGGUAACAGACGAGGAAGAGCGACUCUGCGCCCUCCACAAGCCAGUGACUGCAUGUACAUAUCCCAACCAGAGGCCAUAGAUUACAGGAAACAUCCUCACUGAGCUGAAGGCUAGAGGUGCCGCUUUCAAGGAGCGAGACACUAAUCCGGACGCUUAUAAGAAAUCCCGCCCUCGGACGAACCAUCACAGGUGGUACAUCAUUAUCAGGUGAGAAGCUUCAGAAUUGUAUCAGCCGAGCCACGACGAGACAUAAGGAGGUCCGCAAACUCAUCGACAAAGUCAUACAGAGCGCCAAGACACCGAAAUAAACACACACACGUUUUUUCUCUAAAAGUUGUAUUUUCCUGUCAAUAUAUAUAUUUUCUUUAUCACAAUAAACUGCUGAUAAAGACCA
Salmo salar (Atlantic salmon) is the source of this 1318-nucleotide RNA transcript. It is a transcript of the gene named exosome component 8, with no coding region annotated. The record is from RefSeq and is a predicted model, not a curated record. Lineage: Eukaryota; Metazoa; Chordata; Actinopteri; Salmoniformes; Salmonidae.